Molecule: ribosomal RNA, 497 nt
Filed under: uncultured bacterium
Lineage: Bacteria
Description: partial 16S ribosomal RNA
Rfam family: Bacterial small subunit ribosomal RNA
Source: RNAcentral
GAUGAACGCUGGCGGCGUGCCUAAUACAUGCAAGUCGAGCGAACGGACGAGAAGCUUGCUUCUCUGAUGUUAGCGGCGGACGGGUGAGUAACACGUGUAUAACCUACCUAUAAGACUGGGAUAACUUCGGGAAACCGGAGCUAAUACCGGAUAAUAUUUUGAACCGCAUGGUUCAAAAGUGAAAGACGGUCUUGCUGUCACUUAUAGAUGGAUCCGCGCUGCAUUAGCUAGUUGGUAAGGUAACGGCUUACCAAGGCAACGAUGCAUAGCCGACCUGAGAGGGUGAUCGGCCACACUGGAACUGAGACACGGUCCAGACUCCUAAGGGAGGCAGCAGUAGGGAAUCUUCCGCAAUGGGCGAAAGCCUGACGGAGCAACGCCGCGUGAGUGAUGAAGGUCUUCGGAUCGUAAAACUCUGUUAUUAGGGAAGAACAUAUGUGUAAGUAACUGUGCACAUCUUGACGGUACCUAAUCAGAAAGCCACGGCUAACUACGUG